This 253-nucleotide ribosomal RNA is filed under the name uncultured bacterium. Its description in RNAcentral is "partial 16S ribosomal RNA". It matches the Rfam family "Bacterial small subunit ribosomal RNA", at positions 524 to 776 of the family's 1533-position model. The record is from RNAcentral.
UACGUGGGGUGCAAGCGUUGAUCGGAAGUACUGGGCGUAAAGCGUUCGCAGGCGGUUAUGCAAGACAGAUGUGAAAUCCCCGGGCUCAACCUGGGAACUGCAUUUGUGACUGCAUAGCUAGAGUGCGGCAGAGGGGGAUGGAAUUCCGCGUGUAGCAGUGAAAUGCGUAGAUAUGCGGAGGAACACCGAUGGCGAAGGCAAUCCCCUGGGCCUGCACUGACGCUCAUGCACGAAAGCGUGGGGAGCAAACAGG